CCCCUGUAGCUCAGAGGAUCAAGAGCGGCCGGCUCCUACCCGGCAGGUCCCCGGUUCGAUCCCCGGCAGGGGAA
Molecule: transfer RNA, 74 nt
Filed under: Cellulosimicrobium cellulans
Lineage: Bacteria; Bacillati; Actinomycetota; Actinomycetes; Micrococcales; Promicromonosporaceae
Description: tRNA-Arg
Rfam family: tRNA
About the family: Transfer RNA (tRNA) molecules are approximately 80 nucleotides in length. Their secondary structure includes four short double-helical elements and three loops (D, anti-codon, and T loops).
Source: RNAcentral